RNAcentral lists this long non-coding RNA (1317 nucleotides) under Hordeum vulgare. RNAcentral's name for it is "long non-coding RNA (HVUL_LNC013790)". The record is from RNAcentral. Lineage: Eukaryota; Viridiplantae; Streptophyta; Magnoliopsida; Poales; Poaceae.
AUAGAGCACUCGCCGAAAAGAAACAAGAGAAUCCUAGAAGUUAUGCAGAGUAUCCUCUGUAUACUGCCACAGACAGCCACCCAGUAAACAGGCAGUACCCUGACCAUGUUGGCAUGAUAUAUCAUACAAAGGUAUCUCAGCAGCUCCACAUGUAAAUACUAGUAACAGCCAUCCAUCCCGUAUGCAUUAUAUAAACGGAUCCCAGGAGGGGAAACUGGAUACACAGACAAGAGAACCAAAAAUAAAUAAAAAUACAAUAAGCGGACAGACUGCAACAGCCCAUUAAGCACAUGGAUUCCAUGGGAAAGGGACAGCAGGCAAUCAUUAGCAGAGACAGAAACCUAGUCUUAAUCAAGGCAUUAUUAUAUUAAUCAAAGGUAGCUCUAAUAGGAGGGAACCUGUUCCCCUGAUAUCUUGAUAGAACCACGGCUACAUAGAAGAAAGAAGUGAAAGUCUGAAACCAUAUCCACUGUCCAGCACUUGCAGUAAAAUGCACAUGGCAGUCCAACAAACCUACUAGCAGGAAAUUAAACACUGCGCUAGUGAAAGAAACUAGAGAGAACAAAGGGAGUAGCAAAUUCGUUUAUACUAUAUAAUAUAGACAGCAUCUAGAAAGAUGGCAACCCCGGCGACGAACAUGAGAAAGCAGAGGAAGCAAAGCUGAAUUGCGCGCGUGCGCACACACAAGAUCCAAACGAGGAAGGAAUGGCAGCUUGAAAAGGAGGAGGCUUCCUACCUAGUGAUGAACUAAUGAUCCGGGAAGGGGACGAGCGCCUCUGGCCUGCGGCGAAAUUAGUGAAGGUGGGGAAAUCUUUGGCAGCCCUGAAUUUGCCCCUGCUGCAGCUCUCUGCUCUGCUCUUGUAGCUGCCCGUAUGUGAGUGCGGUGGCGGUACAGGGUGUCACGUCCGAAUAAAGCAGCAGCAGCAGCAGCAGCAUCAUCAUAAAUCCUAACGUGUGAUCGGCCGGCGUCUGUCUCCACACCUCACCGGCUUUCUUGUCACGUCCCAAGCUCGAUCUCUGCUGCUCUUCAAUGCAGGAUUCGGUGGGGAUGAGGGAACAAUGCAGUACUACAGUAGGUGAGACGCAGACAGAACAGGAGGGAAAAGCUCAGAGCCUCCCUUGCUAAUCCACAUCUACAACUCUAGACUUGUACCCUCCGUCCGUCCGUCGAUCGACACAUCGACAACACAAUGCAAGCUUUAUUCGUGCUUGCGCACAUGACCAUCGUUCUCUUCUCCCCAUGCAUGUCACCGCUCCUGUCUUCUCGCACCGCACUGAUUCCAUCAAUGCAUGAAAGCUUUUGCACUCGGCCAAAAU